This 253-nucleotide ribosomal RNA is filed under the name uncultured bacterium. Its description in RNAcentral is "partial 16S ribosomal RNA". It matches the Rfam family "Bacterial small subunit ribosomal RNA", at positions 524 to 776 of the family's 1533-position model. The record is from RNAcentral.
UACGUAGGUAGCGAGCGUUAUCCGGAAUUAUUGGGCGUAAAGAGUCCGUAGGCGGCCCGGCAAGUCUGCUGUCAAAGAAUGGAGCUUAACUCCAAAAAGGCAGUGGAAACUGCAGAGCUAGAGUCUAGGAGGGGUAGAGGGAAUUCCCAGUGUAGCGGUGAAAUGCGUAGAGAUUUGGAAGAACACCGGUGGCGAAAGCGCUCUACUGGACUAUAACUGACGCUGAGGCACGAAAGCGUGGGGAGCAAAUAGG